This 87-nucleotide transfer RNA is filed under the name Acidobacterium capsulatum ATCC 51196. Its description in RNAcentral is "tRNA-Leu". It matches the Rfam family "tRNA". From Rfam's summary of the family: Transfer RNA (tRNA) molecules are approximately 80 nucleotides in length. Lineage: Bacteria; Pseudomonadati; Acidobacteriota; Terriglobia; Terriglobales; Acidobacteriaceae. The record is from RNAcentral.
UGCGGAAGUGGUGAAAUUGGCAGACACACCAUCUUGAGGGGGUGGCGCCGAGAGGCAUGGGGGUUCAAGUCCCCCCUUCCGCACCAA